UGACUGCGUACCUUUUGUAUAAUGGGUCAGCGACUUAUAUUCUGUAGCAAGGUUAACCGUAUAGGGGAGCCGUAGGGAAACCGAGUCUUAAUUGGGCGUUAAGUUGCAGGGUAUAGACCCGAAACCCGGUGAUCUAGCCAUGGGCAGGUUGAAGGUUGGGUAACACUAACUGGAGGACCGAACCGACUAAUGUUGAAAAAUUAGCGGAUGACCUGUGGCUGGGGGUGAAAGGCCAAUCAAACCGGGAGAUAGCUGGUUCUCCCCGAAAGCUAUUUAGGUAGCGCCUCGUGAAUUCAUCUCCGGGGGUAGAGCACUGUUUCGGCUAGGGGGCCAUCCCGGCUUACCAACCCGAUGCAAACUGCGAAUACCGGAGAAUGUUAUCACGGGAGACACACGGCGGGUGCUAACGUCCGUCGUGAAGAGGGAAACAACCCAGACCGCCAGCUAAGGUCCCAAAGUCAUGGUUAAGUGGGAAACGAUGUGGGAAGGCCCAGACAGCCAGGAUGUUGGCUUAGAAGCAGCCAUCAUUUAAAGAAAGCGUAAUAGCUCACUGGUCGAGUCGGCCUGCGCGGAAGAUGUAACGGGGCUAAACCAUGCACCGAAGCUGCGGCAGCGAACGUAUCACCCAAGACAACUUUACGGAGUUGACGAUUGACGGAGCGAAGCGACGUCAAAGCGUUCAUUAAAGUCGAGUUGGCUUAGGGAUACGUUCGUUGGGUAGGGGAGCGUUCUGUAAGCCUGUGAAGGUGUGUCGUGAGGCAUGCUGGAGGUAUCAGAAGUGCGAAUGCUGACAUAAGUAACGAUAAAGCGGGUGAAAAGCCCGCUCGCCGGAAGACCAAGGGUUCCUGUCCAACGUUAAUCGGGGCAGGGUGAGUCGACCCCUAAGGCGAGGCCGAAAGGCGUAGUCGAUGGGAAACGGGUUAAUAUUCCCGUACUUGGUGUUACUGCGAAGGGGGGACGGAGAAGGCUAUGUUGGCCGGGCGACGGUUGUCCCGGUUUAAGCGUGUAGGUGUGUGUUCCAGGUAAAUCCGGUUCACUUUAACACUGAGGCGUGACGACGAGGCACUACGGUGCUGAAGCAACAAAUGCCCUGCUUCCAGGAAAAGCCUCUAAGCAUCAGGUAACACGAAAUCGUACCCCAAACCGACACAGGUGGUCAGGUAGAGAAUACCAAGGCGCUUGAGAGAACUCGGGUGAAGGAACUAGGCAAAAUGGUGCCGUAACUUCGGGAGAAGGCACGCUGACACGUAGGUGAAGUGAUUUACUCAUGGAGCUGAAGUCAGUCGAAGAUACCAGCUGGCUGCAACUGUUUAUUAAAAACACAGCACUGUGCAAACACGAAAGUGGACGUAUACGGUGUGACGCCUGCCCGGUGCCGGAAGGUUAAUUGAUGGGGUCAGCGCAAGCGAAGCUCCUGAUCGAAGCCCCGGUAAACGGCGGCCGUAACUAUAACGGUCCUAAGGUAGCGAAAUUCCUUGUCGGGUAAGUUCCGACCUGCACGAAUGGCGUAAUGAUGGCCAGGCUGUCUCCACCCGAGACUCAGUGAAAUUGAACUCGCUGUGAAGAUGCAGUGUACCCGCGGCAAGACGGAAAGACCCCGUGAACCUUUACUAUAGCUUGACACUGAACAUUGAGCCUUGAUGUGUAGGAUAGGUGGGAGGCUUUGAAGUGUGGACGCCAGUCUGCAUGGAGCCGACCUUGAAAUACCACCCUUUAAUGUUUGAUGUUCUAACGUGGACCCGUAAUCCGGGUUGCGGACAGUGUCUGGUGGGUAGUUUGACUGGGGCGGUCUCCUCCUAAAGAGUAACGGAGGAGCACGAAGGUUGGCUAAUCCUGGUCGGACAUCAGGAGGUUAGUGCAAUGGCAUAAGCCAGCUUGACUGCGAGCGUGACGGCGCGAGCAGGUGCGAAAGCAGGUCAUAGUGAUCCGGUGGUUCUGAAUGGAAGGGCCAUCGCUCAACGGAUAAAAGGUACUCCGGGGAUAACAGGCUGAUACCGCCCAAGAGUUCAUAUCGACGGCGGUGUUUGGCACCUCGAUGUCGGCUCAUCACAUCCUGGGGCUGAAGUAGGUCCCAAGGGUAUGGCUGUUCGCCAUUUAAAGUGGUACGCGAGCUGGGUUUAGAACGUCGUGAGACAGUUCGGUCCCUAUCUGCCGUGGGCGCUGGAGAACUGAGGGGGGCUGCUCCUAGUACGAGAGGACCGGAGUGGACGCAUCACUGGUGUUCGGGUUGUCAUGCCAAUGGCACUGCCCGGUAGCUAAAUGCGGAAGAGAUAAGUGCUGAAAGCAUCUAAGCACGAAACUUGCCCCGAGAUGAGUUCU
RNAcentral lists this ribosomal RNA (2319 nucleotides) under Salmonella enterica subsp. enterica serovar Typhimurium. RNAcentral describes it as "bacterial LSU rRNA". It matches the Rfam family "Bacterial large subunit ribosomal RNA", at positions 594 to 2812 of the family's 2925-position model. Lineage: Bacteria; Pseudomonadati; Pseudomonadota; Gammaproteobacteria; Enterobacterales; Enterobacteriaceae. The record is from RNAcentral.